UUAUUAUUAUUAUUUUUAUUAAAAUGUCUAUGUCUCAUUUUAACAAUAGGUAUAAUGGUUAUUAUUAUAUACACUACAGCUGUAAUUUUAAACAUAAUGUGAACAUUUUUUUUUAUUUUUUUAUUUUUAUUUGACCCCAACCUAAAGCCAACACUUAAAGAAAAAAUGGUUUAUUUAAUACAUACAAAGAAUAAAAAAAAUAUCAAAAGAAGAAACUCAUAAUUGUUUUAACAGCUCCUAAUAGAUACCGGACUGUUUGUAUUUCGUGUGACAGAGAUAACGCUCUACGAAGCCGAAAUUAGCCGAUUGUCUCUUUCCAAAGGUCGAUGUGCAAUAUUUAUUGCCGGGUACUUUACAUUAUGAUUUCAUUUCAGAGAUGAAUUUUACCAUUCCUACCCUAUUCAUACAUACUAUUAGAAAAUCGAGCAAGCAAAUUCCAUAGUCGAGAUAGAAAAAAAGAAAAAUAUUUAUCCUUUUUCUCUAAUAACUUAAACUCAACAUACAACCAACUCGUAGAAUUUACAAUCUAACAAUUAUUAGAGGCAUUUUAUAUAGUACAAUAAGAGACUUUAUCAAUUCUUGAUACAGCAACGGGGGGACAAAGUAAAUAAAAGUGAAAAACUUAUAGCAUUUAAAACAAGAGUGAAGCAUCCAAUGUCUCAAUGUGCUCUAAACUAACACUUGCCAACAAAGCAAUUGAUACUCAUUUUUAAAUAAUUUUUUCACAGUUUUUAAUAAUAAAAUUGAUAUACCCAAUUUAAAGAUCUAAUAGGAUUCACUUAUUGUAUUGUAAUUAUAAUCAGUAAUUCAAGUAAUUUUAAACAUAAAUUGUUGUUUUCUUUUUGGUUAAUAUAGUCUAUUCUCAAAGACAACUUUGUUUGUUUUGGAUAACUUCUUCUUUUUCUUGUUUUACUUUGGCUCCCUGAAGGAUUUGCCAAUAUCUAAGUGAAGCUAUUCACAGACUCUUCUAAACUUACUGAACAGAUAUGUAUAGGAUCAGCUGUCUAGAUUCCGAGAGUUAAUGUAAUUCUGAACUGCAAAAUGCCUCCUGCCUCCUAAGUUUUUACCGGAGAAGCUGUGGCUAUCUUAGAGGCUCUUUCGCUUAUUGAGUCACACCAAUUAAACAACUCCGUUAUAUGC
Molecule: unclassified non-coding RNA, 1140 nt
Filed under: Melitaea cinxia (Glanville fritillary)
Lineage: Eukaryota; Metazoa; Arthropoda; Insecta; Lepidoptera; Nymphalidae
Description: misc RNA ENSMCXG00005001265.1
Source: RNAcentral